Molecule: ribosomal RNA, 372 nt
Filed under: uncultured organism
Description: partial 16S ribosomal RNA
Rfam family: Bacterial small subunit ribosomal RNA
Source: RNAcentral
GUAGGUGGCAAGCGUUGUCCGGAAUUAUUGGGCGUAAAGCGCGCGCAGGCGGUUCUUUAAGUCUGAUGUGAGAGCCCACGGCUCAACCGUGAAGGGUCAUUGGAAACUGGAGAACUUGAGUACAGAAGAGGAAAGCGGAAUUCCACGUGUAGCGGUGAAAUGCGUAGAGAUGUGGAGGAACACCAGUGGCGAAGGCGGCUUUCUGGUCUGUAACUGACGCUGAGGCGCGAAAGCGUGGGGAGCAAACAGGAUUAGAUACCCUGGUAGUCCACGCCGUAAACGAUGAGUGCUAAGUGUUAGGGGGUUUCCGCCCCCCUUAGUGCUGCAGCUAACGCAUUAAGCACUCCGCCUGGGAGUACGGCCGCAAGGCUG